Molecule: ribosomal RNA, 781 nt
Filed under: uncultured Neocallimastigales
Lineage: Eukaryota; Fungi; Neocallimastigomycota; Neocallimastigomycetes; Neocallimastigales
Description: partial large subunit ribosomal RNA
Rfam family: Eukaryotic large subunit ribosomal RNA
Source: RNAcentral
CGUCUAUAUACGUAUAGCAUAUCAAUAAGCGGAGGAAAAGAAACUAACAAGGAUUCCCCUAGUAACGGCGAGUGAAGCGGGAAGAGCUCAAAUUUGAAAUCUUAAAGGGUUUCCCUUUACGAAUUGUAGUUUAAAGAAGUGUUUUCUGUUGGAGUUUCGGUAAAAGUUCUUUGGUAUAGGACAUCAUAGAGGGUGAGAAUCCCGUAUUUGACCGUUACUUUCCAGCUUUGUGAUACACUUUCAAAGAGUCGGAUUGUUUGGGAAUGCAGUCCAAAAUGGGUGGUAAAUUUCAUCUAAAGCUAAAUAUUGGCGAGAGACCGAUAGCGAACAAGUACCGUGAGGGAAAGAUGAAAAGAACUUUGAAAAGAGAGUUAAACAGUACGUGAAAUUGUCAAAAGGGAAGCGUUUGACACCAGUGUUGUUUUUUCGAAAAUCAAUUAAAUAAUGAUUAAUUUUGAGUAGUUAUGACUUUAUCAGCUUGCUGCUUUCUUUUUGAUUAUUAUUUAAUGCACUUUUCGUUUAACAAGUCAACAUCAAUUUCUUUUGUUGUAAAAGGGUAAGAGGAAGGUGGCUUUAACUUCGGUUAAAGUGUUUAUAGCCUUUUAACCUCUGCAAUCGGAGAGAUUGAGGAUCUGCAGCGUAGAUCCUUCGGGGCUAGAUGCAUUUGUGCUAAGUUAUAGCCAAGUUCAUAGGACAACUUGUUGACUAUGAUCAGUCAUGUAGCUUACUCGCUAGAUGUCAUUUUACCUACGCUUAGGAUGUUGAUAUGCAUGACUGAUAU